Molecule: ribosomal RNA, 158 nt
Filed under: uncultured Glomus
Lineage: Eukaryota; Fungi; Glomeromycota; Glomeromycetes; Glomerales; Glomeraceae
Description: 5.8S ribosomal RNA
Rfam family: 5.8S ribosomal RNA
About the family: 5.8S ribosomal RNA (5.8S rRNA) is a component of the large subunit of the eukaryotic ribosome. It is transcribed by RNA polymerase I as part of the 45S precursor that also contains 18S and 28S rRNA. Functionally, it is thought that 5.8S rRNA may be involved in ribosome translocation.
Source: RNAcentral
UCACUUUCAACAACGGAUCUCUUGGUUCUCGCAUCGAUGAAGAACGUAGCGAAGUGCGAUAAGUAGUGUGAAUUGCAGAAUUCCGUGAAUCAUCGAAUCUUUGAACGCAAAUUGCACUCCCUGGUAUUCCGGGGAGUAUGCCUGUUUGGGGGUCAGUU